CAUUUGAUUUAUAAUGUACACAUGAAUUCAUUUGAAGAAACUCACGUUCUUAAGACUUAAAAUUGCUCUUCUUUCAUUAGGUGGAUAUGUGACUCAUAUGCAUAAGACUUAAAAUGGCUCUCCUUCGUUAAAUGAAUAUGUGACUCAUGUCUUUAAGACUUGCCGAAUAUCACCUCUCUAAUAUUGCCACAUAACAUAAUAACUUGAGAGUCACAAUUCCUCGGGGUGGCUUGUUUCCACGUGGGGGAGGGUCUUAUCUUUCCCAAUUCUUUAAUUAAUUACCCAAUGAUUCCUUAAUUAACUUGGUAAUAUCUCAUUACCCAAUAAUUAAUCAAUUACCCACAUAAUUAAGAAUUAUCUCAAAUUACUUAAAAUACUACUCACUUUUAACACACUUUAUGUACCCUACUAUCAUGGUCAUGGAGUACCUUGUGUGGCACUAGUCUAUAAACACCGGGUAUUAUGGCUCGGAUCGUAUUAUAUCCCAAAUUGACCACCUUCGAUGAAACUCAUUUUCUUUGAUUCGUUUACCAUUUAACCUUCACGACACUUAUUUAUCGCUCGUUAUAUAUAGCAUAAAUGCGUAUAACCUCAAGAUAAUCUCAUCCACGAGCUUCCAUCAAUUUACUUAUGGCGUACUUUCACGUACGAAAACAUGGGGUGUAACAUCAUUCCCCCCUUUGGAACAUUCGUCCUUGAAUGUUGACUGAUGCACUUAUCAUUAUCAUAACCUACAGCUCUUGUGAAUACUUUAGUACUCUCCUUGUUAUCUAGGAAACUGUUCUAUGAAUAGAUCCAAAGGCUAGGGCAUUCCCCCCUUUAUGCCUCUUUCUCAACCAUGACUUAUGGUCGGAAUCCUUCCAAUCUCGUAAAUGUUGCUACCUUCUAUCAUGCAGCCUAUAAGACUUGAACCUUGUAAGUGUGCCUAUGCAACUCUUCUUUCCUUUUUUCUUCUUUCCUUUUUCCUCCAGUUUUUAGCCAAUCUCUAUGCCUCACUUUGUAAAUGUGUACAGAGCUUGAGAAGAUAUUCCUUUGGGUGCCUAUAGGUUUACUGAAGUUCUUUGCUAGGUACUUUGUUGAACUCAUGAAUAUUGUUAUACCUUAUUUCAUAUAUCCGUUUAUCCACCUAUAUGACUUUACUGCCAUAACUCUUACUUUGAUUUAUUACCCCUAGGUGGAUCAAUCUAAUUACUCUAGAUGUCCCCGAUGAGACAUGAGCCCUAGCAGCAGUGUUACAUAAGAGAUAAAGUUAUCAGUGGUAGAUGAUAGAUCACCAUUAAGGUUAAUCAACAAUGGAUGGACAAAAGUCACAAAGUAUGAGGUGAGAUUAGACCGUCAUUCUUAAGAUAAACAGUAAUGAAGAAAGUCACAAAGUAUUAGAUUUAGGCAUAUAGGAUAACUUUUGUCACGACCCAAAACGAUGGGCCGCAACGGGCACCUGGUGCUUUAAUCAACUGAGUACCAACGUAGCAUAUCUUUCUUAUCGUACUGUUGUUGGUAACUGGGCUAACAUGGCCACAACUCGUAACGUAUAACUAUAAGUGGAAAGUAAUGUAUCAAUGAACCAUCUUUAUAAAAACAUGAAUACAUAUGGGACGUCAAGGCCUCUGACAUACUGUACAAUAUGAACCACUGUCUACAAAGACUCUAAAAGCAUUUGACAUCAAAUGGGACAGGGUACCGACCUACCCAUAAGUCUGUAGCAAAAUUCUGACAAGAUGACUCAUAGACUCGGCUGCACUCCGAAUGAGGUGGAGUCUUACCGAUCCUUCGUUGAAUGCUAACCUCGUCUACUAUGAGGGCUCGUCAAAGUGAUUGUCUAUACCUGUAGGCAUGAAUGCAACGUCCCCAGGCAAAAAGGGACGUCAGUACAAGUAAUGUACCAAGUAUGUAAGGAAUGAAAAUCAGUAAAUAAUAGACAUGAGAGAAACAUGGAGUAAAAGACUCGACAUGUAAGUCUGGAUAACUCUGUGAUUCAUGAAAUACUUAUAGUGUCAUGUAUAUGCGUAUGAAUGUCAUUUCGUGCAUAGGUACAUGUGUUCAUAAGCCUCCGAGGGCAUCCCAUCAUAUCAUCUUGGCCACUGUGGGCAAAAUCAUAAACGUAUACUAGCUAAUCAGGUGGUGAUGUGUAUAUAACGCCGUAACCUUUUCCCACAUCCCUUAUACAUAUAUAUACAUAUAUACGUGUAUAUAACAGUAUCUGGUCAUGGGUCAAUGUACAUAUAUAAAUGCAUGAAAUGCAUAAGAACUACAUUAAUAAGAUUUCUCGGAAUGUCAUAAAAAUCAAUAUGCCUUUCGAAUAAACUUUAUCAACUACGUAUUUUUCUGACACCCAUGAAUAUAAGAUAUAAUAAUAAUUCACAUGUGUAAUCAAGAUUAUAGACGCCCCUAAUAUUUCUAUGAAUAGAGUCAUUUAUGAAAGUUGCAUAUUUUGCUCGUUUCAUUUGUAUUAUUUGGAUCACGCCAAAAGGAAAGAAGGGAUAGCCUUAGCAUACCUGAACCGAUUCUCUUGACAAUUUCUUUAACACCGUCUUUUGCGACGAAACACGUAACGGCGAGAUUGAAAUAGGGAACGACCAAAUUCAAUCAUAACAAUAGCAUAAACCAGAUGCCUACCAAGUGCUCCAUCGUGAGUAAUUUGGUAUUGUAGUAGCAGGAUGUUAUGUGUUCCUUUGAUAUAUUCAAAUGUGUCUUUGUAAUGGAAAGACCACUAUAUUUGGAUCACUUGAAAAUUUGAAAGACAAAAUGAAGCAAAAUGGUCACAAUUACUAAGUAUGUUGCAACACGUAAUGAAACAAUGUGUUUGAAUAGGUGUGGGCCCACUUCAUGUGGUGGCUUAGCCACAUAACAUUAAUUUUCCACCUUUAAAUUUGAGUUAAGAGUCAUUAGUUUGAAGGAUGGGCUACCACGUUGGGAAAUUUUAACCUUUAUCCAAUAAUUAGGUAAUAUCUCAUUACCCAAUAAUGAACCAAUUACUCACAUAAUUAAGAAUUAUCUCAGCUUACUUAAAAUACUACUCACUUUUAACACACAUUAUACACCUUACUAUCAUGGUCACGUGGUACCUUGUAUUGUAUUAGUCCAUAAAUAACGGGUAUUUUAGCUUGGGCUGUAUUUUAUCCCAAAAUAUCAAACUUCGACGAAAAUCCUUUUUUUCGAUUCACUUACCCUCUCACCUUCACGAAUUUACUCAUCACUUGUUUCAAUUACCAUAAUGCUUAUAAUCUUAGAAUAAUCUCAUUCCCGAACUUACGUCGAUUAACUUACGACGCAACUUUAGCGUACGAAAAAAGUGGGAUGUAAUAUUUCCAAGUUUUCAUCAAUUUACUUAUGGCGUACUUUCACGUAAGAAAACAGGGGGUGUAACAUCAUUCACCCCCUGGGAACAUUCGUCCUCGAAUGUUGACUGAUGCGAUUAAUGUUUUCAUGACUUAUAUCUUCCGAUCUGCGGCUCCUGGUAUUAGUUAUUACAUUAGCGUUCCAUGGGUGCUAUAGAAUAUCCAUGAUACAAUCUUCUAACAAUUCAAUCUUUUGUUUAUACCCUGGGCUCAAUUAUUUCUUUUGACUUAUACCGGAGUCUUCUACAGUUGUAUUAAUGUCAAUAUACAUGCUGCGUGGAUAAUAUUCCGAAAUCGUAAGUGCGUUCAUGACGUAGGCAAUUACUUUUCCUGGUCUUUCUGCCGCUUGUUGCGUGCAUACUUUACUUAUCUUAACGUAUCUUUUCGUAUCAUAGUAUCAUAGAUAACUGAGCCGGAGAGGCUGCCAUGAGAUAAGUAGGAUACAAUAUGAAAUACCAACUUAUACUUAAGACAUACCGGCCUAUAAGGCCAAAAUGAGCAUUCUUACACUAAACAUUGACCGGCAAGGCCAUACAAUCUUUCAUAUGCAUGACACCUGUCUACAAGCCUCUCAGAGUACAUAACAUCAUAAAGGUCGGGACUGAGCCCCGCUAUACCAAUCAACACAUGUUCUAAUCAUACUGACCAAAUAGCAACUCCGGAGCAAUUGCAGCGCACCAACACCUUCCGCUGAGUUGAUAGCCUAUUUAGAGGACUCUCAUCCUAUCUAACGGGAACUGCGGGCAUGAAACGCAGCAUCCCCAAGCAAAAGGGACAUCAGUACAAAUAAUGUACCGAAUAUUUAAGGAGUGAAAAUCAGUAAAUAAUAGACAUGAGAGAAACAUGGAGUAAUAGACUCGACAUGUAAGUCUGAAUAACUCUGUGAAUCAUUAAUAUUAUAAUUUCAGGCAUAUGCGUACAAAUAUCAUACCAUGGUUAGGUAUAUGCGUUCAUAACAUCAUCAAGCCUUUGAGGGCAUCCCAUCAUAUCAUCUCAUCCACUGUGGGGAAAUCGUCAACGUAUACCAGCUGAUCAGGUUGUGGUGCGUAUAGAACGCUAUAAUCUUUUGCCAUAUGCCAUAUACAUAUAAUAUACGCGUAUAUAGUGCCAUCUGGUCAUGGGUUGAUGUACAUGUAUAAAUUCAUGAAAUGCAUAAGAAUUACGUUAAUAAGAUUUCUUGGAUUAUCAUUAAAUCAAUAUGCCUCACUUUGUAAAUAUGUACAGAGCUUGACAUGAUAUUCCUCUAGGCGCCUAUAGGUUUACUGAAGUUCUUUGCUAGGUACUUUGUUGAACUCAUGAAUAUUGUUAUACCUUAUUUCAUAGAUCUGUUUAUCUAUCUGUAUGACUUUACUGCCAUAACUCUUACUUUGAUUUAUCACCCCUAGGUGGAUCAAUCUAAAUACUCCAGAUGUCCCCGAUAAGACGUAAGCCCUAGCGGCAGUGUUACAUAGGAGAUAAAGUUAUCAGUGGUAGAUGAUAGAUCACCAUUAAGGUGAAUCAACAAUGGAUGGACAAAAGUCACAAAGUAUGAGGUGAGAUUAGGCCGUUAUUCUUAAGAUGAAUAGUAAUAAAGAAACAUUAAAGGACUUAGAUUUAUGCAUAUAGGAUAACUUUUGUCACGACCCAAAACGAUGGGCCGCAACGGGCACCUGGUGCUUUACUCAACCGAGUACCAACGUAGCAUAUCUUUCUUAUCGUACUGUUGUUGGUAACUGGGCUAACAUGGCCACAACUCGUAACGUAUAACUAUAAGUGGAAAGCGAUGUAUCAAUUAACCAUCUUCCUUAAAACAUGAAUACAUAUGGGACAUCAAGGCCUCUAACAUACUGUACAAUAUGAACCACUGUCUACAAAACCUCUAAAAGUAUUUGAAAUCAAAUGGGAUAGGGUUCCGGCCUACCCAUAAGUCUGUAGCAAAAUUCUGACACGAUGACUCAUAGACUCGGCUGCACUCCGAAUGAGGUGGAGUCUUACUGAUCCUUCGCUGAAUGCUAACCUCGUCUACUAUAAGGGCUCGUCAAACUGAUUGACCAUACCUAUAGGCAUGAAUGCAUUGUCCCCAGGAAAAAAGGGACGUCAGUACAAAUAAUAUACCUAGUAUGUAAGGAAUGAAAAUCAAGAAAUAAUAGACAUGAGAGAAACAUGGAGUAAAAGACUCAACAUGUAAGUCUGGAUAACUCUAUAAUUCAUGAAAUACAUAUAGUGUCAUGUAUAUGCGUAUGAAUGUCAUGUCGUGCAUAGGUACAUAUGUUCAUAAGCCUCCGAGGGCAUCCCAUCAUAUCAUCUUGGCCAUUGUGGGCAAAAUCAUCAACGUAUACUAGCUAAUCAGGUGGUGGUGUGUAUAUAACGCCGUAACCUUUUCCCACAUCCCAUAUACAUAUAUACGCGUAUAUAACACCAUCUGGUCAUGGGUCAAUGUACAUGUAUAAAUGCAUGAAAUGCAUAAGAAUUACGUUAAUAAAAUUUCUCGGAAUGUCAUAAAAAUCAAUAUGCCUUUCGGAUAAACUUUAUCAAAUACGUAUUUUUCUGAGACCCAUGAAUAGAAGAUAUAAUAAUAAUUCACAUGGGGAAUUAUGAAUAUAGACACCCCUAGUAUUUCUAUGAAUAGAGUCCUUUAUGAAAGUUGCGUAUUUUGCUCGAUUCAUUUGUAUUAAUUGGAUCACACCAAGAGGAAAGAAGGGAUAGUCUUAAAAUACCUGAACCAAUUCUCUUGACAAUCCCUUUAAUACCGUCUUUUGCGACGAAACAUGUAACGGAGAGAUCGAAACAGGGAACGACAAAAUUCAAUCACAACAAUAGCACAAACCAGAUGCCUACCAAAUGCUCCAUCGUGAGUAAUUUGGUAUUGUAGUAGGAAGAUGUUAUGUGUUCUUUUGUUAUAUUCUAAUGUGUCUUUGUAAUGGAAAGAGCACUAUAUUUGGAUCACUUGAAAAUCUAAAAGACAAAAUGAAGCAAAAUGGUCACAAUUUAUAAGUAUGUUGCAACACGUAAUGAAAAAAUGUGUUUAAAUAGGUGUGGGCCCACUUCAUGUGGUAGCUUAGCCACAUAACAUUAACAUUCCACCUUUCAAUUUGAGUUAAGAGUCAUUAGUUUGAAGGGUGGGCUGCCACGUUGGGAAAUUUUAACAUUUAUCCAAUAAUUUAGGUAAUAUCCCAUUACUCAAUAAUUAACCAAUUACCCACAUAAUUAAGAAUUAUCUCAACUUACAUAAAAUACUACUCACUUUUAACACACCUUAUACACCUUACUAUCAUGGCCAUGUGGUACCUUUUAUGGUAUUAGUCCAUAAAUACCGGGUAUUUUAGCUCGGGCCGUAUUUUAUCCCAAAAUAUCAAACUUCGACGAAAAUCAUUUUCUUCGAUUUUCUUACCCUCUCACCUUCACGAAUUUACUCAUCGCUUGUUUCAAUUACCAUAAUGCUUAUAAUCUUAGAAUAAUCUCAUUCCCAAACUUACGUCGAUUAACUUACAACGAAACUUUAACGUACAAAAAAUGUGGGAUGCAAUGUCUUAUUUCCGAGUUUUUAUCAAUUUACUUAUGGAGUACUUUCACGUACGAAAACAUGGGGUGUAACAUCAUUCCCCCCUUUAGAACAUUCGUCCUCGAAUGUUGGCUGAUGCGAUUAUUGUUUUCAUAACUUAUUUCUUUCGAUCUGCGACUCCUGGUAUUAGUUAUUACUUUAGCCUUUCAUGGGUGCUAUAGAAUAUCCAUGAUAUAAUCUUCUAACAAUUCAAUCCUUUGUUUAUACCUUGGGCUCACUUCUUUCUUUUAACUUAUACCAGAGUCUUCUACGACUGUAUGAAUGUCAAUAUAUAUGCUGCAUGGAUAAUAUUCCGAAAUCGUAAGUGCGUUCAUGACGUAACUAACUCUGGAUCACUGAUCGAAUAAUUCAUUUUGUUCCUUCUCAACUUUCUUUAAAUAUAGGCAAUUACUUUUCCUGGCCUUUCUGCCCCUUGAUGCAUGCAUACUUAACUUAUCUUAACAUAUCUUUUCAUAUCAUACUAUCAUAGAUAACUGAGCCGGAGAGGCUGCGAUGAGAUAAGUAGGAUACAACAUGAAAUACCAACUUAUACUUAAGACAUACCGGCCUAUAAGGCCAAAAUGAGCAUUCUUGCACUAAACAUAGGCCGACAAGGCCAUACAAUCUUUCACAUACAUGACACCUGUCUACAAGCCUCUAAGAGUACAUAACAUCAUAAAGGUCGGGACAGAGCCCCGCCAUACCAAUCAACACAUGUUCUAAUCAUACUGACCAAAUAGCAACUCCGGAGCAAUUGGAGCACACCAACACCUUCUACUGAGCUGAUAGCCUAUUUCGAGGACUCUCAUCCUAUCUAAUGGGACCUGCGGGCAUGAAAUGUAGCAUCCCCAGGCAAAAGGGACAGCAGUACAAAUAAUGUACCGAAUAUUUAAGGAAUGAAAAUCAGUAAAUAAUAGACACGAGAGAAACAUGGAGUAAUAGACUUGACAUAUAAGUCUGAAUAAGUAUGUGAAUCAUUAAUAUUAUAAUGUCAUGCAUAUGCGUACAAAUAUCAUACCAUGCUUAGGUAUAUGCGUUCAUAAUAUCAUCAAGCCUCUAAGGGCAUCCCAUCAUAUUAUCUCGGCUACUGUGGGCAAAUCGUCAACGUAUACCAGCUGAUCAGGUGGUCGUGCGUAUAUAAUGGUAUAAUAUUUUCCCAUAUCCCAUAUACAUAUAAUAUACGCGUAUAUAGCGCCAUCUGGUCAUGGGUUGAUGUACAUGUAUAAAUGCAUGAAAUGCAUAAGAAUUACAUUAAUAAGAUUUCUUGGAUUAGCAUUAAAUCAAUAUGCCUUUCGGAUAAACUUUAUCAAAUACGUAUUUUUCUGAGACCCAUGAACAGAAGACAUAAUAAUAAUUCACAUGGGGAAUCAAUAACAUAGACACCCCUAAUACUUCUAUGAAUAGAGUCAUUUACGAUAAUUGUGCAUUUGCUCAUUUUGUUUGUAUCGUAUGGAUCAUGCCAAAAAGAAAGAAGGGAUAGCCUUAACAUACCUGAACCGAUUCUCUUAGAAUUUGCAAUUCAAGCUUUACAGAAUCAACAACCAAAGUUAUCUAAUUUUGGUAUGGAAUUGUUUUGCUCUUUGAAGAACUCACGGCCAACCACUCUCUAAAGCGUGAAUUGCACACAUGAAGAACUCAUUUGAUUUAUAAUGUACACAUGAAUUCAUUUGAAGAAACUCAGUUCUUAAGACUUAAAACUGCUCUUCUUUCAUUAGGUGGAUAUGUUACUCAUAUGCUUAAGACUUAAAAUGGCUCUCUUUCAUUAAAUGAAUAUGUGACUCAUAUCUUUAACACUGGCCAAAUAUCACCUCUCUAAUCUUGCCACAUAACAUAAUAACUGAAGAGUCACAAUACCUUGGGGUGGCUUGUUGCCACGUGGAGGAGGGUCUUAUUUUACCCAAUUCUUUAAUUAAUUACCCAAUGAUUCAUUAAUUAGCUAGGUAAUCUCCCAUUACCCAAUAAUUAAUCAAUUACCCACAUAAUUAAAAAUUAUCUCAAAUUACUUAAAAUACUACUCACUUUUAAUACACUUUAUGUACCCUAC
RNAcentral lists this long non-coding RNA (8902 nucleotides) under Nicotiana tabacum (common tobacco). RNAcentral's name for it is "long non-coding RNA (NTAB_LNC016553)". The record is from RNAcentral. Lineage: Eukaryota; Viridiplantae; Streptophyta; Magnoliopsida; Solanales; Solanaceae.